RNAcentral lists this ribosomal RNA (398 nucleotides) under uncultured bacterium. RNAcentral's name for it is "bacterial SSU rRNA". It matches the Rfam family "Bacterial small subunit ribosomal RNA", at positions 29 to 413 of the family's 1533-position model. The record is from RNAcentral.
AAUCAACGCUGGCGGCGUGCCUAACACAUGCAAGUCGAACGCGAAAGUCCCGCAAGGGAUAAGUAGAGUGGCAAACGGGUGAGUAACGCGUGGGCGACCUACCUCUGAGUGGGGGAUAACCUUCCGAAAGGAGGGCUAAUACCGCAUGACAUCCCGUGUUUGGAUACACGGACAUCAAAGCCGGGGAUCGUAAGACCUGGCGCUUGGAGAGGGGCCCGCGUCCGAUUAGCUAGUUGGNGGGGUAACGGCUCACCAAGGCUCCGAUCGGUAUCCGGCCUGAGAGGGCGGACGGACACACUGGAACUGAGACACGGUCCAGACUCCUACGGGAGGCAGCAGUGGGGAAUUGUUCGCAAUGGGCGCAAGCCUGACGACGCAACGCCGCGUGGAGGAUGAAG